Molecule: ribosomal RNA, 539 nt
Filed under: uncultured bacterium
Lineage: Bacteria
Description: bacterial SSU rRNA
Rfam family: Bacterial small subunit ribosomal RNA
Source: RNAcentral
UGAGGAAUAUUGGUCAAUGGGCGCGAGCCUGAACCAGCCAAGUAGCGCGCAGGAUGACGGCCCUAUGGGUUGUAAACUGCUUUUGUAUGGGGAUAAAGUCAAUCACGUGUGAUUGUUUGCAGGUACCAUACGAAUAAGGACCGGCUAAUUCCGUGCCAGCAGCCGCGGUAAUACGGAAGGUCCGGGCGUUAUCCGGAUUUAUUGGGUUUAAAGGGAGCGUAGGCCGGAGAUUAAGUGUGUUGUGAAAUGUAGACGCUCAACGUCUGACUUGCAGCGCAUACUGGUUUCCUUGAGUACGCACAACGUUGGCGGAAUUCGUCGUGUAGCGGUGAAAUGCUUAGAUAUGACGAAGAACUCCGAUUGCGAAGGCAGCUGACGGGAGCGCAACUGACGCUUAAGCUCGAAGGUGCGGGUAUCGAACAGGAUUAGAUACCCUGGUAGUCCGCACAGUAAACGAUGGAUGCCCGCUGUUGGUACCUGGUAUCAGCGGCUAAGCGAAAGCAUUAAGCAUCCCGCCUGGGGAGUACGCCGGCNACGGU